Molecule: ribosomal RNA, 412 nt
Filed under: uncultured archaeon
Lineage: Archaea
Description: bacterial SSU rRNA
Rfam family: Archaeal small subunit ribosomal RNA
Source: RNAcentral
GCGCAGCAGGCGAGAAACUCUACAAUAAGCGAAAGCUUGACAGGGUUAUUCUGAGUGAUUUCCGCUAAGGAAAUCUUUUGGCACCUCUAAAAAUGGUGCAGAAUAAGGGGUGGGCAAGUCUGGUGUCAGCCGCCGCGGUAAUACCAGCACCCCGAGUGGUCGGGACGUUUAUUGGGCCUAAAGCAUCCGUAGCCGGUUCUACAAGUCUUCCGUUAAAUCCACCUGCUUAACAGAUGGGCUGCGGAAGAUACUAUAGAGCUAGGAGGCGGGAGAGGCAAGCGGUACUCGAUGGGUAGGGGUAAAAUCCGUUGAUCCAUUGAAGACCACCAGUGGCGAAGGCGGCUUGCCAGAACGCGCUCGGCGGUGAGGGAUGAAAGCUGGGGGAGCAAACCGGAUUAGAUACCCGUGUAGU